AUUUUCCGGUUGAUCCUGCCGGACCCCACUGCUAUCGGGAUAGGACUAAGACAUGCUAGUCGAGCGCUUCAGCCAACACGAAGCGCGGCAUACAGCUCAGUAACACGUGGCUAAUCUGCCCUUAGGAUAGGAACAACCCCGGGAAACUGGGGCUAAUUCCCAAUAGGCGAAGAACUCUGGAAUGAGUCUUCACCCGAAAAGAGCCUGCGUUAUGCGCGUAGGUUUCGCCUAAGGAUGAGGCCGCGACCGAUCAGGUUGUUGGUGAGGUAAUGGCUCACCAAGCCUUUUACCGGUGCGGGCCGUGAGAGCGGGAGCCCGGAGAUGGGCACUGAGACAAGGGCCCAGGCCCUACGGGGCGCAGCAGUCGCGAAAACUUUGCAAUACACGCAAGUGUGACAGGGCUAUCCCGAGUGCCAUCCGCUGAGGAAGGCUUUUACCCAGUCUAGAACGCUGGGGGAAUAAGGAGAGGGCAAGUCUGGUGUCAGCCGCCGCGGUAAUACCAGCUCUCCGAGUGGUGUGGAUGUUUAUUGGGCCUAAAGCAUCCGUAGCUGGCUAGGUUAGUCCCUUGUUAAAUCCACCGAAUUAAUCGUUGGAUCGCGGGGGAUACUGCCUGGCUAGGGAACGAGAGAGGCAGACGGUAUUUCCGGGGUAGGGGUGAAAUCCUAUAAUCCCGGGAAGACCACCAGUGGCGAAGGCUGUCUGCUAGAACGCGUCCGACGGUGAGGGAUGAAAGCUGGGGGAGCGAACCGGAUUAGAUACCCGGGUAGUCCCAGCUGUAAACGAUGCAGGCUAGGUGUUUGGACGGCCACGUGCCGUUCUAGUGCCGCAGGGAAGCUGUUAAGCCUGCCGCCUGGGGAGUACGAUCGCAAGAUUGAAACUUAAAGGAAUUGGCGGGGGAGCACCACAAGGGGUGAAGCUUGCGGUUUAAUUGGAUUCAACGCCGGAAAU
Molecule: ribosomal RNA, 948 nt
Filed under: uncultured crenarchaeote
Lineage: Archaea; Thermoproteati; Thermoproteota
Description: bacterial SSU rRNA
Rfam family: Archaeal small subunit ribosomal RNA
Source: RNAcentral